GUGUAGUAUGAAAGGAGAGACGUUUAGCACUCCCCUAGACAAGGAUGGACACAUAUACAUGGUAAGGGCACUGUCGCCUGUCGGCGGCACUUACCGUAUUUUUUU
This is a small nuclear RNA of Bombus pascuorum, 105 nucleotides long. Lineage: Eukaryota; Metazoa; Arthropoda; Insecta; Hymenoptera; Apidae. The record is from RefSeq and is a predicted model, not a curated record.